This 480-nucleotide ribosomal RNA is filed under the name uncultured bacterium. RNAcentral describes it as "partial 16S ribosomal RNA". It matches the Rfam family "Bacterial small subunit ribosomal RNA", at positions 28 to 507 of the family's 1533-position model. The record is from RNAcentral.
GAUGAACGCUGGCGGCGUGCUUAACACAUGCAAGUCGAACGAAGCAUUUAGGACAGAUUACUUCGGUUUGAAGUUCUUUAUGACUGAGUGGCGGACGGGUGAGUAACGCGUGGUUACCUUCCUUUUUCUUGGGGGUUGCAGCCUGGAACCGCUUGUUAUUCCCCAUUAACCCCCCAUUUUUCCUUACCUUGUUUUGAAAAACUCGGUGGUAUAAGAUGGACCCGCGUCUGAUUAGCUAGUUGGUGAGAUAACAGCCCACCAAGGCGACGAUCAGUAGCCGACCUGAGAGGGUGACCGGCCACAUUGGGACUGAGACACGGCCCAGACUCCUACGGGAGGCAGCAGUGGGGAAUAUUGCACAAUGGAGGAAACUCUGAUGCAGCGACGCCGCGUGAGUGAAGAAGUAAUUCGUUAUGUAAAGCUCUAUCAGCAGGGAAGAUAGUGACGGUACCUGACUAAGAAGCUCCGGCUAAAUACGUG